This 75-nucleotide transfer RNA is filed under the name Desulforamulus varus. Its description in RNAcentral is "Desulfotomaculum varum tRNA-Asn". It matches the Rfam family "tRNA". From Rfam's summary of the family: Transfer RNA (tRNA) molecules are approximately 80 nucleotides in length. Their secondary structure includes four short double-helical elements and three loops (D, anti-codon, and T loops). The record is from RNAcentral. Lineage: Bacteria; Bacillati; Bacillota; Clostridia; Eubacteriales; Peptococcaceae. RNAcentral also lists the same sequence under 4 other names.
UCCUCGAUAGCUCAAUGGUAGAGCAACCGGCUGUUAACCGGUAGGUUGCAGGUUCGAGUCCUGCUCGGGGAGCCA